UGAACGGUAGCUCAAUGGUGGAGCAUUCGGCUGUUAACCGAAGGGUUGCGGGUUCGAGUCCCGCCCGUUCAG
Molecule: transfer RNA, 72 nt
Filed under: Ignavibacteriota bacterium
Lineage: Bacteria; Pseudomonadati; Ignavibacteriota
Also listed under: 1 other name
Description: Ignavibacteriae bacterium (activated sludge metagenome) tRNA-Asn
Rfam family: tRNA
About the family: Transfer RNA (tRNA) molecules are approximately 80 nucleotides in length. Their secondary structure includes four short double-helical elements and three loops (D, anti-codon, and T loops).
Source: RNAcentral